RNAcentral lists this ribosomal RNA (254 nucleotides) under uncultured bacterium. RNAcentral's name for it is "partial 16S ribosomal RNA". It matches the Rfam family "Bacterial small subunit ribosomal RNA", at positions 524 to 776 of the family's 1533-position model. The record is from RNAcentral.
UACGUAGGGGGCAAGCGUUGUCCGGAUUCAUUGGGCGUAAAGAGCUCGUAGGCGGCUUGGCAAGUCGGGUGUGAAAACUCCAGGCUCAACCUGGAGACGCCACCCGAUACUGCCAUGGCUUGAGUCCGGUAGGGGACCACGGAAUUCCUGGUGUAGCGGUGAAAUGCGCAGAUAUCAGGAGGAACACCAAUGGCGAAGGCAGCUCGCUGGGACGGUACUGACGCUGAGACGCGAAAGCGUGGGGAGCAAACAGG